CACGUAGGCGGAACAGAAAGUGUCUUGUGAAAGCCCCCGGCUUAACCGGGGAAUUGCUUGGCAAACUUCUGUUCUUGAGUCAAGUAGGGGUACAUGGAACUCUUAGUGGAGCGGUGGAAUGCGUAGAUAUUAAGAGGAACGCCAAUGGUGAAGACAGUGUACUGGGCUUGUACUGACGCUGAGGUGCGAAAGCGUGGGGAGCGAACAGGAUUAGAUACCCUGGUAGUCC
This 229-nucleotide ribosomal RNA is filed under the name uncultured bacterium. RNAcentral's name for it is "partial 16S ribosomal RNA". It matches the Rfam family "Bacterial small subunit ribosomal RNA", at positions 568 to 796 of the family's 1533-position model. The record is from RNAcentral.